This 253-nucleotide ribosomal RNA is filed under the name uncultured bacterium. Its description in RNAcentral is "partial 16S ribosomal RNA". It matches the Rfam family "Bacterial small subunit ribosomal RNA", at positions 524 to 776 of the family's 1533-position model. The record is from RNAcentral.
UACAGAGGUCUCAAGCGUUGUUCGGAUUCAUUGGGCGUAAAGGGUGCGUAGGUGGCGCCAUAAGUCAGGUGUGAAAUCUCGGGGCUCAACCCCGAAACUGCACUUGAUACUGUGGUGCUGGAGUACUGGAGAGGAGAUUGGAAUUUACGGUGUAGCAGUGAAAUGCGUAGAUAUCGUAAGGAAGACCAGUGGCGAAGGCGAAUCUCUGGACAGUUACUGACACUGAGGCACGAAAGCGUGGGGAGCAAACAGG